GAUAGAAUUAGGGAUUUUUUUUACUUGUUUAUAAUUUAGUCCUGAUUGUUUAAUAUUCAAAGAGAGAACACAUUUAUUAUUUUGAACUAGGUAUAUAAUAGUAUAUUUAAACUGAGUGGAUAAGGAGUUUAGUAAAUAGGUACUAAUGCUGUUUCACAGUACUCUCUCUGCCAUCAAAUUGGUGUCAAAAUUUUCUUAUUAAGUUUAAGAAUACAAAAAUAUAUCAUGUCAAUAUGUUAAAGACUUUAAGUUUUUCUUUUCACAUUUUCUAGUACAUUUUUAUAGCUUAUGAUUUGGAGAUAGAGUACAUUUUUAUUGAUAACAUAUUCAGUUAGUACUUCAUGCACAAAUAAGUGGAAGCCACUUAUUCUGAGAGCAAUUAGUAGCAUAUCUCUUGAUAACAGUGAUAAAAACUGGUUAAGAAUGGAGCUCCAGUCUGAGAAGUAGGGAUGAUAUGCAGGGAAGAUAGGCCCUAAAUAGAUUUGACUCCAUGGAUAUUUAGGGGAUUCAUAAAGAACUGACAAAAAAUAGGGGAAUUCUUGAGGAUCUAGUCUUGACCCAAGGAGAAGACUAGCAAAAUUUCAAUAAUCAAGAUUUUCCAGGUAUUUGCAAAAUUAGCACCAUGAAAAAUGAUGAAUCAUUUCUGAUAAUGUUUCAUAAAUAACAAUUUUUCAAUAAACCUAUAAAGCUAAUUAUUAUCUUAGCACAUUUGAUGUUGGUGGAAUCCUUCCAAAAUAGUGUUGUAAACAUAAAUGUUAUACUGCUUCAUAAUUUACCAAUUACAUCUAUCAUGUUUCAUUAGUACAUUUUAUUACUUUGGGCAGAGAUCAUAGAUUGCUGAUGUAGCUGCAAGAGUUCAGGCUCCAAUAAUCAUUCUAUUCUGUAGAAAUGAAAUUAAGGCAGAAUUCAGAUGUCAUGCUUUAAGUGUCAGUUAUUCCCAUAUUAUCAAUCAACAUAAAUCAAGGUCUUCUAAUGUCAUUAAUAUGGUCUGUUAUACCUCAGGAGAAUACUGAAAGCAAGAAAUGAGAAACAUAUUUUCACUUCACACAUUUACUUUUUUCUUACAGAAGAACAAUAGCAUGUUUUGAAGGAUAGAUUAUAUCAUGUUAGUUUUGGUGUUAAACACUUUCAGGCUACUAAGAUAUUCCUUAAAAUGAAUAAGUUUAAACCAACAAAUGAGGCAUAAUGAUCAUAAUUCACUGGCUGCAGAACUUAAUAAUAAUGAAAAAUAAUGUUUAUUGAGCGUCUGUUAUGUAUUACAGCAACACUGUCCAGACACAGUUCACCCUUGAACAAAACAAAGGUUAGGGGAGCUGACCCCUGCACAAUUAGUAGUCUGCAUAUAACUUUCAACUCCUCAAAAAUUUAACUACUACCAAACUAUUGUUGAUUAGAAGUCUUACACCUUACCAAUAACAUAAACAGUCGAUUAACACAUAUUUUGUAUGUUAUAUAUUGUAGAUAUUAUAUUUUUCCAAUAAAGUGAGCUAGAGAAAACAAAAUUUUAUUAAGACAAUCAUAAGGAAAAUAAAAUAGAUUUACUAAGUCUUUAUUCUUGUUAUCUUCACACUGAGUGAGCUGAGGAGAAAGAAGAGGAGGAGUUCGUAUUCCUGUCUAAGGGGAGGCAGAGGCAGAAGAAAAGUCAGCUUCAGCCUUGACAUGAAAAUAACAUGAAAGCCAUCACUCUUCUACUUGCAAGAAAAACUGGGACAAAUAAAAGGUCUGACAGAGAGAGAGAAAGCAUGACCAGAGUAAAACAUGCCCAGACAUUUCCAUAACAAAGGCCAAUUCUCCAAGGUGAAGAAGUUUUCGAGUCGUAUGCCCAUUGGAAGAAGGGCAUAUCAACAACGUCCAGGGCUUCCAGGAAAGAAUUUUGUUAUUCUUCAGCCGGAGAAGGAUGCAGGAGGUCAAGGGAAUAGAACAGGAAAUACAUGUUUGAAGUUAGCCACCUUAAGACACAGAUCUACUGAAAGACUGAGAUUUAGUUGGAAGAUAUGGGAACAUUUUCCAUCCCUCGUACCUUAAGUCCACACCAACAGUUUCAAUAUAUUAUUAGUGAGUGGGUUACAGGUGCAAGAGCCACAGAACACAGACUGUUUCAGGGGUACCUAGAGAAGGCUGAAGAGGUGAGAUAGAAUGAGCGCGCUAAAGGAAUUUGAAGUAUCUGGCACCUGCAGCUAUAGCAAACAUUAAACGUGGCUCAAUUCCUAGACCAAUUAGUAUAAAUAUACACA
Non-coding RNA from Callithrix jacchus (white-tufted-ear marmoset), 2234 nucleotides. The record is from RefSeq and is a predicted model, not a curated record. Lineage: Eukaryota; Metazoa; Chordata; Mammalia; Primates; Cebidae.